GACGAACGCUGGCGGCGUGCUUAACACAUGCAAGUCGAACGGAAAGGCCCUGCUUGUUUGGGGUGCUCGAGUGGCGAACGGGUGAGUAACACGUGAGUAACCUGCUCUUGACUUUGGGAUAACUUCAGGAAACUGGGGCUAAUACCGUAUAGGAGCUCCUGCUGCAUGGAGGGGGUUGGAAAGUUUCGGCGGUCGGGGAUGGACGGGCGGCUUAUCAGCUUGUUGGUGGGCGAGUGGCUUACCAAGGCUUUGACGGAUAGGCGGCCUGUGUGGGUGAACGGCCACAUGGGGACUGCGGUACGGCGCAGAGUCCAACGGGGGGCAGCAGUGGGGAAUAUUGCACAAUGGGCGCGAGUCUGAUGCAGCGGCGCCGCGUGCGGGAUGACGGCCUUCGGGUUGUGAACCGCUUUAGCCUGUGACGAAGCGUGAGUGACGGUAAUGGGUAAAGAAGCACCGGCUAACUACGUG
RNAcentral lists this ribosomal RNA (468 nucleotides) under uncultured bacterium. RNAcentral's name for it is "partial 16S ribosomal RNA". It matches the Rfam family "Bacterial small subunit ribosomal RNA", at positions 28 to 507 of the family's 1533-position model. The record is from RNAcentral.